GCCUGAGGGGCGAGGGCCUUCGGGUCGUAAAACUCUGGCCUCAAGGAAGAUAAUGACGGUACUUGAGGAGGAAGCCCCGGCUAACUACGUGCCAGCAGCCGCGGUAAUACGUAGGGGGCUAGCGUUAUCCGGAGUUACUGGGCGUAAAGGGGGCGUAGGCGGUCUUUCAAGUCAGGAGUGAAAGGCUACGGCUCAACCGUAGUAAGCUCUUGAAACUGGGAGACUUGAGUGCAGGAGAGG
Molecule: ribosomal RNA, 240 nt
Filed under: Clostridioides difficile
Lineage: Bacteria; Bacillati; Bacillota; Clostridia; Peptostreptococcales; Peptostreptococcaceae
Description: partial 16S ribosomal RNA
Rfam family: Bacterial small subunit ribosomal RNA
Source: RNAcentral